Molecule: long non-coding RNA, 1123 nt
Organism: Schistocerca americana (American grasshopper)
Lineage: Eukaryota; Metazoa; Arthropoda; Insecta; Orthoptera; Acrididae
Exons: 3
Source: RefSeq, a predicted model, not a curated record
UCCUGACUCUUGUGUUUAACUAUAGCCCCAGUCUGACCAAAACUAUCUUUAUCCGUUAACUCUCGAGGUGUGGUCUCUCAGACAGCGCCAGAAUUUUCCAAGUCGCACUCGUAGGUCGUUCACGUCGGAACGUUUUUAUACAUCACCUAUCCUCAUUUAAUCACCAACCCUACAAAUAAUUAUUAUUGUCAGUUGCGUUAUUGCCUUAUUUGAUUUUUGUUUACAUGUGUUGUUGACAUGUGAUGUGGUCUCCUAGACCGCACCUUGUGAACUAAGCGCCUGCUUUCAUCAGUUCAGUACAAAAUGUGUUUGUGUUAUCAAGAAUGCGACAGUUUUACACACUCCAAGUUCGAUGAAAUUUUUAGUCAAUGGAUGGAGAAUGAUGUCAAUGAUAGAACAAGAAGUAGAUGAAAAAGACAGUGGUUUUUCAAUAGCCAGUGACCACAGUUCUGUUAGCGAACAAGAGGACCUUUCAGCGGAAGAACUUCGGGACAAUGGAGAUGAGGACCUUUCUGUUUCUCCAACAAUAUAUGAAGUGUUAGUUAAAAUUAAAUGUGUUCUGAAUGGUGUCAAAGAAAGAUGUAGAUCUCAGUACUGAAUAUUAAUUUUGCAGUCUUUCUCUGGUUAUUGAGUUCAGUUUUUAUAUGCAAGUUUAAUCCCGGGAAAUUAGUUUUGUGCGAAAAUUUGCAUUCUACAGAGAUACCAUAAUUUUUCAGAAGACGAUGUGCAGGCUUGGAAGGGGAGGUAACAUCCACAUCGGACAAACUGAAGUUACAAGGCAUAUCAGUCUACAUUACCACUGUGUAUGACAAAAACUGGUGGCUUUGGUACAUUUUAGAAAAAAAAGGAAGAACUUGAUGAAGUGAAAAUAAUUUUUUUUUCAUCCAUGUGGGCCAGCUACAUCAGUCUCAUGUCAUACAUAUGCAGAUGUCCUGUGGAUGUCAGUUUUUGGUUAACUGGUUUCAACUCAAAACUUAAUUUUUCCUAAGAUGCUGUCCAUUCCGUUCAACUGCUCUUCCAAGUCCUUAGCUGUCUCUGGCAGAACUACAAUGUCACAUUUAUUGACUGUUCUGUUGAUUCUUGGUAGAAUAUUUUAUACAUUAUGAAUGAAACACACACAACA